GCUGGUAUAGCUCAGGAGGUAGAGUGCAUCCUUGGUAAGGAUGAGGUCACGGGUUCAAAUCCCGUUAUCAGCUCCA
Molecule: transfer RNA, 76 nt
Filed under: Oscillospiraceae bacterium
Lineage: Bacteria; Bacillati; Bacillota; Clostridia; Eubacteriales; Oscillospiraceae
Description: tRNA-Thr
Rfam family: tRNA
About the family: Transfer RNA (tRNA) molecules are approximately 80 nucleotides in length. Their secondary structure includes four short double-helical elements and three loops (D, anti-codon, and T loops).
Source: RNAcentral